This 555-nucleotide ribosomal RNA is filed under the name Apiospora malaysiana. Its description in RNAcentral is "eukaryotic LSU rRNA". It matches the Rfam family "Eukaryotic large subunit ribosomal RNA", at positions 87 to 667 of the family's 3401-position model. Lineage: Eukaryota; Fungi; Ascomycota; Sordariomycetes; Amphisphaeriales; Apiosporaceae. The record is from RNAcentral.
CGGCGAGUGAAGCGGGAACAGCUCAAAUUUGAAAUCUGGCCCUUGGGUCCGAGUUGUAAUUUGCAGAGGAUGCUUUUGGUGCGGUGCCUUCCGAGUUCCCUGGAACGGGACGCCUUAGAGGGUGAGAGCCCCGUACGGUUGGCCACCAAGCCUGUGUAAAGCUCCUUCGACGAGUCGAGUAGUUUGGGAAUGCUGCUCAAAAUGGGAGGUAUAUUUCUUCUAAAGCUAAAUACUGGCCAGAGACCGAUAGCGCACAAGUAGAGUGAUCGAAAGAUGAAAAGCACUUUGAAAAGAGGGUUAAAUAGCACGUGAAAUUGUUGAAAGGGAAGGAUUUAUGACCAGACUUUUUCUGGGGGGAUCAUCCGGUGUUCUCACCGGUGCACUUCCCCCAGUGGAGGCCAGCAUCGGUUUCGGCCGGGGGAUAAAAGCUUCGGGAAUGUGGCUCCUUCGGGAGUGUUAUAGCCCGUUGCAUAAUACCCUGGCGGGGACCGAGGUUCGCGCAUUGCAAGGAUGCUGGCGUAAUGGUUAUUAAUCACCCGUCUUGAAACACGGACC